This is an RNA transcript of Strigops habroptila (Kakapo), 2456 nucleotides long. It is a transcript of the gene named PML-RARA regulated adaptor molecule 1, with no coding region annotated. The record is from RefSeq and is a predicted model, not a curated record. The transcript has 11 exons. Lineage: Eukaryota; Metazoa; Chordata; Aves; Psittaciformes; Psittacidae.
GCAGAGGAAGGACCCGGCCCCGCGGCCUCGCGGCUUCCGCCCGCCCCAGCAGGGCCCUUCUUUGAGCUCCCCAUCACCGGCACUGCUGGUGGGACACCUUCCCAAAGGGCUGGAGGGACACACUAUCCCAGAGUGAGGACAUCAGCGCCUGCCUGCAGCCGGCCAGAGCAUCCCUGCCAUGUGGCCUGACUCAACCUCUCAGAGCUUUCCUGCCUCUGAGGCAAUAAACCAUGAAACCAGGACAUUUCAACACCGAGAUGGCCUAACUUGGCACUGCACCAUGCAGAGUGCUUCCCUUGCUUGCCAGUGGAGGUUGGCUCUUCAAUGGAGCAAAUGUCCUUUGAUUUGGGGUCCUGUGGGGCUCUGAAUACCUGACCUGCAUUGGGUUCACUUCGGCCACCCAUCAGAUGAGAAUGUCCUCCCAGUCCAUCCCUCGCAUCUCAGAGUCACUCCCUGAACCCCAGGCUCUUUUCUGGAUGAGACUUUUAAGGGCAGCAGGGCUUGGUGGGCUUCAAGCUUCCCAACAGCAGCAGAGGCCAAGCUAACAGUGCACCAAGAACUGCUCCUCCUCCUCUUCCUCCUCCACGUGCUCUGUCAUGGUCAGGCUACAGCGACUUCCUGGCGUUGCACACAGCUUCUCACCAACCGUUAGGAAAGAGCUUCUGGUUUCAGGCGAGGGGCACUUUGGAGAGGCUCGCCUUGCACGAGUCCUUCUGCUUGGGUGCCUCUGGUGGCCUUCAGAAAGGAGGUGAGCAUGCAGGAGAGCGGCCACUGAUGGAAAAUGACACAUCUGGAGAGGAAAGAGGCCGUGGUGAGGCACCUACGGGCAAAGCUCCAAGGGAACAGGAAAGAUCCUCCCAAAGCAGGCGGCUGCCCUGAGAGUCGCUCUGCGGCGCCCCUUGCAACAGAGCCAGGACAGACCCCCACGCCAGAGCCCCCCCGGAGCAGGAGGGUGGACUUCAGCAGGGCUUCUCCAUCACACAGUAAAGGUGUGGGACAGUGUUCACCUCCUCAUCCCACCGCCGAGACCCCGGCAUGGGUGGUGCAACUGAAGAAGGGGACUGCUCAGGAUGGCAGCUUCCACCCAGCCCCUGCAAAGCCAGGAGGAGGAGAUGUGUUGGACAAGGAGGUAGGAGCCACAUCUGAUCCUCCCUGGAGAAACCCAGCCCAGCAGACAUGGCCACUCGCCAAAGACAAGGGUGCUGCAGCAGUUCCUGUUGCAGCCCCUAUGGGUGCUGUGGCAAGCCCCCACGGUAUGGGGCACCCAGCUCAGCCUCGGAGGAAGCCUUUGCCGCACAUCAAGGCACUGGGAGCGAGGCCAGCCAAGCCCAGGCGUCCUCCUGUUGUGGAUCUGGAGAAGUUUGGUGCACCUGCACAUCCUGGGACUCCCAUCCAUCCUGCCAUGGAGCCACCAAGGAGUGCUCAGCUGGGUCACCCCAAACCAGGCUAUGCUGCAUCAGCACGGUUCCCACCACAGGAUGCUCCGAGUGUAAGGGGGGAUGAAGAUGAGAUAUAUGAUGAUGUAGAGCCUGUUGGGCUGAUCGGGAGAGCGCAAGGCUUUCCACUGCCCCCCACGUGCCAGCCGGCAGCAAAUCGCUGCCCCAGAGGAGGUGUCUAACACCUUAUAGCAGCCUCAUGGCAGCACCUCUCCCAGGGUUUGGUUUUGCAGGUGGAGAUGCCGGUCGAGCUUCUAAUGGGUUUACCUUGCUGGCAGCUGCACAGAGGUAACAGGGAGUUUUACUCUUUCUAAGGGUCCCAAAAUGGCCAGGGCUCCUUGCUGCUUUGGCAAAGCUGGUGGUUGAAUGCUCUCUGCUGGGCUUGCAAUGGAAAUCUCCAUGGUGAAGAGCACAAGUAGCUGGUUUGAACCUGGCCUGAGAACCGCAGAGUGGGUGAAGGGAAAUGUGGUGGGGCAGCAGCUGAGGGGCAGAAGGGGAGAAGGGAGGGAGCAGAGUGUGGGGUCACCUGAGCUUUCCUGUGACUCGCAAUGGCUCUGCAGAGAAGCCCAGGUCCCCCGGAAGACGAAGCCAAUGACACUCAAGGAAUGCAAGAAGGAAGAGAAGGCAGACAGGGAGUUUCAGAAGAAAUUCAAGUUUGAAGGAAGCAUCAAUGUCCUGACUCAGAUGAUGGUCGACCCCGCAGUGAUGGAGAAAAGGGGUGGAGGAAAGAACCUGCCACUGAGACGAGGAGAAAUUCUUGAUGUUAUUCAAUUUACAAACCAGGAACAAAUCCUCUGCAGAAACAGCCAGAGGAGGUAUGGCUACGUGCCCCGGGCCGUGAUGCUACACCUGGACACUGACAUCUAUGAUGAUGUUGAGAUUUAUGGGUGAGGAUCCAUGGCUAAAGCCAAAGGCAGAAGACACCACCAACAGAGACCUCCACAAGGGUCAAAACAUGACCCAGGUCACACCUUCUCUGUGGCUUUGUUUUGUCUGUGUAAAAUAUGGCAAUGGUAUGAG